This 335-nucleotide long non-coding RNA is filed under the name Chinchilla lanigera (long-tailed chinchilla). RNAcentral describes it as "lncRNA (ENSCLAG00000023630.1)". Lineage: Eukaryota; Metazoa; Chordata; Mammalia; Rodentia; Chinchillidae. The record is from RNAcentral.
GUGGCUGGUCACUCCUCCCUGAUUGCAGACAGACCCCUGGUUUUCAUCACUUUGGGGUAGAUGUGGGGGAUGCAGUGAGCAGCUGCCCAGGUGCUUAUCAGGUACCCUGGCUGCCCAGCAGGAUCAGCCCCUCCAGGACCCUCGUCGGAGCCCUGCCUGGCCCCAGGCCAUGCCCAUCUUGGGGCAGCCCUGCCAACUGAUGCACCAAGGCCCUCUGUGCCUGCUCCCUGCGGAUGAAGCUCAGACUCCUGCUGAGGGGUCCCAGGGUUGGCCUCUCCUUUCCCGAUGGCAGAGGAUUGGAUGUCUUCAAUACCUAAGUCUCUGCUGCAACCCAG